CGGGGCUGCCGCGGGCGGCUGGAGCUGGACACUGUUUGUAACUGAAACCCUGGCCUGCGGCUUUGGCCACCUGCUCCUGAAACCAGCCCGCUGUUUCCGCCCACUGAGACGCUCACAAGUGCAAAGACAGCCCGCGGAGUGGGAGGAAAUACUUGCAAAUCAUGAUCUGACAAGGGAUUCACGUGCAGCACAGAUAAAGAAUCAAUAACGGAAAGAGACAUAACCCGAUGAAAACCAAGCAAAGGGUUUGAGUGGACAUUUCUGCAAAGGGACGCGUGGCCCAUAGGCGCCUGCGAAGUUCAGGGGACCAGUGAGACCAGGGCCCCGCCCACGCGGCAGGCCGCCCACCCAAGAGGGCAGACAGAGGCGCCGAUGAGGACGCGGGGACUGGAACCCACGCCCCUGCCCAGCCGCCGCCCAGUGUGCGGCCAAGCGGAACACUGUCUGGCGGCAACUCAGUCAGGUGAACCCAGGACGACCCCGUGACCGGCAGUCCCUCUCCUGGGGCCAGACCUGGAGAUCUGAAAACAGGCGUGCACGCCAAAACCUGUACACGGUGCUCACGGCAGCACGGCUGACACUCGCCAAGGGGGUGGCAACCCAAGUGUCCCUGGCAGAACAGACACAAAGGCCACAUGGCGCACGAUCCCAUUUAUACGAAACGUCCAGAACAGGCAAAGCACAGACAGAAGCACGUGGGUGGGUGCCGGGGCUGGGGAGGCGGGCGGGGAGGGGGAUGAUGGAAAUGUUCCAGAACUAGGUAGAGAUGGUUGCACAACAUGCACAAGAUGAAUGCACUAAAUGCCACCGAAUUGUUUACUGUAAAGGGGUGAAUUGCAUGGUUUAUCUGUGGGAUGGUUGGAUUAGCGUCUGCCUUCCCCACCCGACCAGAAGCCCCUCAUGAUGGGACCGAUCCUGACCUGUGUGGGACUGGGCUUGGUAUACAGUAGGUGCUCAACGCUGACCUUCCGAAUCAAUGAAUGAACGAAGCUGUGAAACGGAGACUACCACAGUCUGAACUCCUGGAGCUGUGGGGAGCAGCUGAGGGACUGCCGCUCAGAGGAGCCCCAAAUACUGAGUACACAGCAGGAGCUCAGUAUCACUGGCCCAGAGCUCUGCUAAGCAGGACUGCUCAACCCAUGAGGUAGGGACCCAACCAGUGCUCUGAACUUUUUCUUUUACAUAUGGGCAAGCGGAAGCCCAGAGAGGAACUCCUGUGGGUCAUUUCCUGGCAGCAGAAACAGAACUCAAAGUGGCUUCAACAAAAAGGAAUCUGAUGAAAAAGAAAAUCCCAGGUGGUGGGCUUCAGGCAUGGCUGCAUCCAGGGACUAGGGCUCCUUUUCUCUGUACUGGUGUCCUCCCUGCAGCUUCUCUCCAGGCAGGCUCAGUCUUCUCCCAGUAGAAACAGGGUGCCCAUUUUCCCCACUCACUUCAGCAGCACCCCAAGCCCUGCUCAGUGAAGGCCUAACUCCAACCCCUUGACCAGAGGGCUGUGCCUGGAGGUACGUUUUCGAACAACUCCAGGGGCCACCAAACAGAGUCCUGUGCUACUUAGUGGGCCCAAGACAGCCUGCAUGGGGGUAUUUAGCUCCCCGGAGGCUCCGCUGUGAGGGGGGUCGGGGGGGGGGGGCAUCUGGAAUUGAGGGGGGAGCUCUGAGCCCCAGGGCUGAGGUCAUUCCGGUCCUUCUCGGGAGGCCGCUGACCCUGCAUCCCUACUGUCUGUCCACUUGGCCCUGCCGCUGUCCAGGCCUCCUCCAAGGGCUGGAGCCCAGCCGAAAGGAUGCGGAGAGCGAUCUUCAAGGGAGGGCACGCCGGAUGGCAGCGUCAGCAAACGCUUGAGCAAACGCGAGGAGGUGGCAACUCCAAGAGAGGAGCAUUUGCGGAGCAGCCAGCCCCGCGGCAGCUAAAGCACCUGGGCCAUGGCCUCAGUUUCCCCACCUGGAAGCAGAGGGCAAACGGAGGCUCCCCAAGCGGCGGGGCCGGGACCACUGCCCCCUGGCCUUGUCGGCUGCCAGACCUCCCUCACCCAGAGGCCUGUCUCUUUUGCCACAAAAUUCAGCAUCUCUUGGUUUCAAUCUCAGCCUCUCCCCCUCCCCCUGCCCUCGUCGAAAACCGGAAAAGUCUGUUUUGCAAACUCCGUGGGAGGCGGAAGGGGCGCGGGGCUGCCUGGGAGAGGCGCGCCGCUGCCGCCCCCUGGUGGCCGUGGGGGAACGCGCGGCAACUCGCUUAAGGACGGGGCCGGGCGCGCGGGGCGGGGCCGG
Equus caballus (horse) is the source of this 2261-nucleotide long non-coding RNA. NCBI's taxonomy places the organism in Eukaryota, Metazoa, Chordata, Mammalia, Perissodactyla, Equidae. The record is from Ensembl.